UCUUUGAGAUUAUAUGUUUGCUUCUUUCACAAUAUUCGAGCAAGAUUCGAGGACGAAUCUUUUCAAAGAAAGGGGGAAUGAUGAGAACCCAUGUAGCACAAGGAAUCCUACUUCAACAAAGAAUCCUAAUUCCACUAAAGAUCCUAAUCCAGCAAAGAGUCCUGAUGAUAUCAAGAGUUCAAGCGACAAAAGGAAUCCUAUUUCCACUAGGAAUCCUAAUCCAAUUAGAAGUCCUACCGAGAUUUAACUUUGAUUAAUUAUAUUUCAUUCAUGGAUUAAAGCCCAA
This 286-nucleotide long non-coding RNA is filed under the name Ricinus communis (castor bean). Its description in RNAcentral is "long non-coding RNA (RCOM_LNC000946)". Lineage: Eukaryota; Viridiplantae; Streptophyta; Magnoliopsida; Malpighiales; Euphorbiaceae. The record is from RNAcentral.